CUCAGAGAUACUGAGUCUCCCUUUCUGACUAUCCUUAAUGUCAUGUGCAAAAUGUUUCUCUGAGAUAGAGGCUCAGACAAUGCAAGCUCUCUCACAGGAAUUCUUUAAGUUUAAGUUUCAUCUACUUCUCCAAUGGAUGAUGUCCAGAAUGGAUUAGGCCCUGAAUUGACGAAGACUUCAGUCUUUUCUGCAUGAGGAAGUGUAUCUGCCAGAGGGGACCUCAGGAGGUGACCAGCCCACAGGGAACUUGGAGCCUGCAGAGCUGGUGUACUCGUCAUCCAGGACAUACCUGAAAUAACAGGGAGAGUUGUUAAUUUGUCAUAGAAGUAGCUCUAAUUCCAUAAUAUUGCUGUAAGAAUGAACUGUAGAUUUUAUUUAUUUGUCAGGUAUUUCUGCAGUGUGUGAUUAUUUGUAAAAGCUGCCAGAAUCAAGCACAACAUUCAGUCUUUACCUUGACAGUCAAAAGUCAUUGACUUUAAUGGUCCCAUUGGUAUCUACCAAGCAGUUUCUGGCAGCCUGAGAAGAAGAACACAGUAUUUGUUAUUUGAGGUCAGUAUUGUGUAGUGUAGUAUAGGACAGUAGCCUACAGUACCAAAUCAGUAUCAAACCUGCUGAGUCUUUCAAAUCUCUCAAGCUGCGCUUGAUUUAGUUUGAAAUCAACAGUCAGUGGAAUAGCCCCCAAAAGUGCAAACUGCAAAACCUAAGCUAUUUGACUCAUAUCUUAUAAGUACAUCUCUUACCAGGUCUCUGUGGAUGUACUGCUGAGCCUCCAGGUAGGCAAUGCCCUCUGUGACGUCCUUACACUUUUCCAGGGAUAUGUGCUGCUUCAGGCCUUCUCGCAGGUAGCUGACCAGGCAGCCAUUGGAGAGGAACUCUGUGACAAUGUAGAUGGGCCUUUGUUUGGUGCACACACCAUACAGCUUAACCAAGUUCUCGUGGCGGAGCUUCCUGGUUCAAGCAAAAAGAGAUGAGAUUGAACAUGUGUUGAGGGCUAUGUGGGUUAAAUUGAACAACACUGUUGGUGUAUAUGGUGAGAAUUUUGGCAGAGGACAAGGUGGAGCUGUUACGAUAUAUACAGUAUACUGUACCUCUGGAUAUAUUUCUAUCUAAGGCUCUGAAUGUACAGUGCCUUGCGAAAGUAUUCGGCCCCCUUGAACUUUGAGACCUUUUGCCACAUUUCAGGCUUCAAACAUAAAGAUAUAAAACUGUAUUUUU
Oncorhynchus mykiss (rainbow trout) is the source of this 1215-nucleotide long non-coding RNA. RefSeq lists it as uncharacterized. NCBI's taxonomy places the organism in Eukaryota, Metazoa, Chordata, Actinopteri, Salmoniformes, Salmonidae. The record is from RefSeq and is a predicted model, not a curated record.